Molecule: long non-coding RNA, 591 nt
Filed under: Daucus carota (carrot)
Lineage: Eukaryota; Viridiplantae; Streptophyta; Magnoliopsida; Apiales; Apiaceae
Description: long non-coding RNA (DCAR_LNC000281)
Source: RNAcentral
ACAAUUAUCUCGAAUUGCGGUCAGCUCAUACGGUGAUCGAUCAAGUGCAAUCCAUUGCUCGAUGGUGAAUAAUUGUUGCGCACAAGGAAUAUGCGCGCCGGUGGUUGUCACCUCAAUGUAGUUACAAUACCAUCCGUGACCUGAUCCUGUUCCAUCAGAUGUUAUGUUCAGUUUACAGGCCGGUCCCGGAAGACACGGGCCUUUUCCGCUGAAGAUAUCGAGAUUGCCUCGUUCGAAAUAGUUGUAAUCAGGUCCCAUGAGUCCUCCCCAGGCUUCCAGAUUGUUGAUCCGGACUCCGUACCCUUCUGCGUCGUAGAGUGUCAGUGUCAUUAUCGAAUCCGUUCCCCCUUUGAUCACCGAGCCUGUCCGGACGUAGACCGUGUAUACGCAUUCAUCGUCCUGUCAUGAUAUUCAUCAAUAUAAUUUACAAGAGCAAAACAUAUCGGAUAAACGGAUUAUCAUAACUUUGGAGGAUUGAUUAUAUUAAUUAAAUUUCUUAUGAGACGAUGAGUGUAUGAGCGUGUUUAAUUAUAGAAAGAUUAGAGAAACGAAGUAUCGGAAUGUAACGAAUUAGCAAAAAGUGAUUAAUUU